UUUUUUUUUUUUUUUUUUUUUUUACAUAUAUCUCUAUUAUAAUAGGUCCCAUUAAUUAGAAUUGUUCUAUUUCAACCUUCUGCAACUUAAACAGUAAGUCCUUGCAGGAUAGUGAAAAGCCUUUUUCAUGUUGAAUUGCUUCAUACAUAUGAGAUUUAAAGUGAUGAAUAUGCGUGUUCAUUCGUUUGUUCUUGAAAAUAUGAAAGUACAUUUGAGUUUUUGUAUUUUUCUAUUCAUUAAUUUUAAAUGCCAAAUAAAUUAUUACUUUUCUACAUCCAUUAAAUGGGGAUAACUCUUAUCUCAUUAGUUUACUGUGUAAAUAAAUGAGAUAAAGUAUAUAACAUAUUCUAGAUGCACAUGUAAAGUAUCAAGACAUGUUAGAUAUUACUAAUACUAAAUAAUACCACAUUCUCUAUUACAAAUUUCUAUAAAAAUUGCAUUUUUCAUAUAAAAUUUUGGCUGUGACCAUAUAUGUGGGCACUUAUGUAUUUGUUUACAGACCUAUCAGUUGAUUAUGCUUUUUCUGUAUUUUUUUCUGAGAAUAGAAAUGUUAAAAAACUUUCAUUCAAUGCCUGCAAAUAAAUUAACUCAAAGAUGUUCAAUUCUAGAAGGAAACUUACAAAUUAUCUUGCCUGAUAUGCUCAUAUUAUGAAUAUAUAACUGGAGGAACAAAAAAAUUAAAAAACAUAUUUAGGCCACUUUGGGGGGAUUCAGUUUAUUAAAUAAUAUCUCAAGUGCUCAAUAAUAUUUGCGAUAUCCUUCCUUUCAGUGCUAGAGUAUUCAGCAAUAUACUGUGUUUGCCACCAGAAGGUGCUACAGGGAAAUAAAACCAGCCUGUUUGAAUGCUUUGUACUAGUAUUUUUCCAUUUGCUCUUGGUGGUGUCCUCUCUAGAUCAUUUCCUCCAUUCAGUAAUAGGUUUUCAUAUGGUAUCAAUAUCCUAUCUAUGAAAUUUCAAGGAGCUGACCAUGGGCAAAAAAAGCAGGAAAUAGAGAAGUCUUUAGAAAUAGCAUUAUAUGAAAUAUUUGAGAACAUAAUAUUCAUGUAAUUGAAGAUACUGUAUAAAUUAAGCUUUGCAAUUUCUGUUAAAGUCAACUUCAUAAAGAAAGUUUAUGUUCUGUGCUAAUUCAGAUGUCAAAUCUUUCAAAAGUGAAUUUACACUCCCUUUAAAAUAUGGUAGAACUGAGAAUGCUAUUGUGGAAUGCAUAAUUCUAGAGUGAGUACAUUUUAUAAUCUUGUCAGUAAAUUCACUAACCUUAAAAGGUUUAUUGUCUUUAAGCUUUCCUAAGUAAAAAAUAUCACCAGGUGUCUGUGUGUAUUUUCUUCACAUAGUUUAUUUCAAGAUAAUUUAAGCAUCUAGGCGAUACUGGUAUUAAACUUUUUUCCAUUGAGGAUUUCCCUUUUCUUUUCCAUUUGGGAAAUACAACAUGCUUCCCAGAUUCCAAAUUUCACUGCUUAUUUUUAUGACUACUAUAAAAGGAUAAGAAGAGGAUAAAAUAGUAAAAGGGUAAUAAUAUUAUCCUGGGAGCUAUUUCUGUAUCUCAGUGCUAAAAGCCAUCAAACUAUGUAGACAUUUUUAAAAGUUCUUUUGUAAUAUUCAUAUAACUGACGAAAAUGUGUUCAUUUAUCAUUUCAGCAGGAAAAAGUAUAAAAUUUCUCUGGAUAUUUUUCUGGACAUUUGCUGUGUACAUUUUCAUUUAACAUGCCUUUGCAAGUUAGAUAGUUUCCCCAGAUUUUUUUUUCUUUUAAUUUCAUGUGCUCAGUAAAAAUGUGGCAGUCUUAAGCCCAAUGCUGCAAACUAUACUGGUAAAAUAGGGUGGAAAUCAGAGAAAGUGGUAGUUGUAGAGAGCUUGCUCGCAAACCAUUCAAAAUUUGGAAAGGAAAAAAAAAAA
RNAcentral lists this long non-coding RNA (1890 nucleotides) under Homo sapiens (human). RNAcentral's name for it is "novel transcript, sense intronic to NAV3". Lineage: Eukaryota; Metazoa; Chordata; Mammalia; Primates; Hominidae. The record is from RNAcentral.